CACACCGAAACCCUAGCCUCCGUGUUCCUUUGGCUUGAAGCUUCUACAUCUCAUUUUCUAUGAAAACAUACGCUUGUGCUUGAAUCGACUGAUAAAGGAAACACGCUUUGCCCUUUCCAAUUCCUGCUCUCAAACCCUACUGUCCGAAUACACAUCUUCCCCUUCACGUUUCCUGCCGAUCAAUCGAUUUAUCAAUCCUAUAAUAUACUAAUCUCAUCAAUGUUGAAAGCCAUCAUCAAUUUGGUGUAGAUGGGUAUUCAAGAAAAUAAAGGCAUAAGUGGGAGUUUGGGUUCGUUUCUUACUCGCAGAUGCUUUGGUUGUCUUAUGAGGGGCUACUUAGAAGGUUUUGGUGUGUGCUGCCUCCUUUAGAAGAAGAGGAUGUUCCUCAACUAUACCCAAAAGGGCCAAAUCUUGGUGAGUGAGCUUGAGAAACAGUUGAAAAUGGAGAUAAAAUCAAGAAACAGAGCCAGAGCCGAAAAGAUCUGGUAAAAGACAUAAUUUCUCUUUAGAUGAUGGUAAUUUAGGGUCUUUUGAUGAGGAUAUUUUUGGGUAGUCUAAUGAGAAUAAGAGUCAGAAAGAAAGAUGGAGCUGAAGAUCUUUUAAAAAAGAAGAUGACAAUGGGUAUGUUUCUUAAAUUUAGAACUUGAUUUAAAACAUUUAGCUUUAGAUAAGGUGUUAACAUAAAUUUUUGACUAUUUGUAGCUAGAUUUUAUGUAUUUUGGUUCCAGCGGAAUGAAAUGGUCAAGACCGGGUUCUCCGGGUUCGGAGGAACCCGACUUUGUAGUGGGGCUACUUCAACUUAAAAGAUGAAACAAGGGUUACUAAAUAAAGUUCAAUAAGCAAUCCCAAACACCCCUCUAAAAGUAACUUAUUUAGUUAAUGCUUAAAAGUCAAAUGUGGUCAUGAUUUGUUCUUUUGAUGUUUUCUUUUCUUAUAUGCUCAGGCAUGAUUUUACUUUCAACAACUUAUAUCAUGAGUUAGUUACUGUCAUUCAAUGUUAUACAAUCUUUUCGUUCAGUUUACCAUUCUACCAUUUCUUUGUUCAUAACAAUAUCGCCUCUAGCUCUAUUCUUCACCGAUUAUUGUGUUGCAGGACAUUUGUCACGGAUAUCUUAAGCUUGAAAAUACACUGUUGGAAGUGCAGCUCCUCGUGUUAAAAAUACUUAAAAUAUGUGAUUUUGGGUAUUCAAAGUUUGAUCACAAAUGUUGCAGCCGCUCCUCUCACCGAUCGACCUGAUCACAAGUGCAGGAUUCCGGCGACAUUCGAUUAGGAUUCCGGUUAGGUCAAUUUGAAUUCAGCGAGUGGUUGCAAUUGAUAAGAUUUGAUUAGCAUGGAACAUCGAAAGGAUGAGGUUGUUGAGAGGAUCAACUUUAGAUCAUAAAAUGAUGCACUCAUAGCUGCGACUUCAAGAUGGAAAGGUUGAACAUGAUCAUACAAGAGAUGGUGAAAGAAAAAGAAGAGAAAGAAAGGUUGAACGGAAGGAUGACAAAUGUUGAACGAUGCUAAAAAUUAGGUAUCAAAACGUCUAAUCAUCGAGUUGGUUAUAAGCACUUUAUUUUGGAUAUGUAUUUUGUUCGGAGAACUCAUGUAUUUAAUUUGAUGUUUUAAGUGGAAUGCUUUAUAUAAUUUUGAAAAUUCUAGAAAU
Molecule: long non-coding RNA, 1646 nt
Filed under: Helianthus annuus (common sunflower)
Lineage: Eukaryota; Viridiplantae; Streptophyta; Magnoliopsida; Asterales; Asteraceae
Source: RNAcentral